ACGCUGGCGGCGUGCUUAACACAUGCAAGUCGAACGAGAGCGUAGAGAAAGCUUGCUUUUUCUACAAUCUAGUGGCAAACGGGUGAGUAACGCGUAAACAACCUGCCCUACGGAUGGGGACAACAGCUGGAAACGGCUGCUAAUACCGAAUACGUUCCGGAAGUCGCAUGACUAUCGGAAGAAAGGAUGGCCUCUAUUUAUAAGCUAUCGCCGGAGGAGGGGUUUGCGUCUGAUUAGCUAGUUGGAGGGGUAACGGCCCACCAAGGCGACGAUCAGUAGCCGGUCUGAGAGGAUGAACGGCCACAUUGGAACUGAGACACGGUCCAGACUCCUACGGGAGGCAGCAGUGGGGAAUCUUCCGCAAUGGGCGAAAGCCUGACGGAGCAACGCCGCGUGAGUGAAGACGGCCUUCGGGUUGUAAAGCUCUGUUAUACGGGACGAAUAAUCUUGUGGUUAAUACCCAUGAGAAGUGACGGUACCGUAAGAGAAAGCCACGGCUAACUACGUGCCAGCAGCCGCGGUAAUACGUAGGUGGCAAGCGUUGUCCGGAAUUAUUGGGCGUAAAGGGCGCGCAGGCGGCUUCUUAAGUCUGUCUUAAAAGUGCGGGGCUUAACCCCGUGAUGGGAUGGAAACUGGGAAGCUCAGAGUAUCGGAGAGGAAAGCGGAAUUCCUAGUGUAGCGGUGAAAUGCGUAGAUAUUAGGAGGAACACCAGUGGCGAAAGCGGCUUUUCUGGACGAAAACUGACGCUGAGGCGCGAAAGCCAGGGGAGCGAACGGGAUUAGAUACCCCGGUAGUCCUGACCGUAAACGAUGGGUACUAGGUGUAGGAGGUAUCGACCCCUUCUGUGCCGGAGUUAACGCAAUAAGUACCCCGCCUGGGGAGUACGGCCGCAAGGUUGAAACUCAAAGG
This 910-nucleotide ribosomal RNA is filed under the name uncultured bacterium. RNAcentral describes it as "bacterial SSU rRNA". It matches the Rfam family "Bacterial small subunit ribosomal RNA", at positions 33 to 907 of the family's 1533-position model. The record is from RNAcentral.